UGGGGAAUAUUGCGCAAUGGGGGGAACCCUGACGCAGCCAUGCCGCGUGAAUGAAGAAGGCCUUCGGGUUGUAAAGUUCUUUCGGUAUUGAGGAAGGGGUGUGUGCUAAUAGUACACAUCAUUGACGUUAAAUACAGAAGAAGCACCGGCUAACUCCGUGCCAGCAGCCGCGGUAAUACGGAGGGUGCGAGCGUUAAUCGGAAUAACUGGGCGUAAAGGGCACGCAGGCGGUUAUUUAAGUGAGGUGUGAAAGCCCUGGGCUUAACCUAGGAAUUGCAUUUCAGACUGGGUAACUAGAGUACUUUAGGGAGGGGUAGAAUUCCACGUGUAGCGGUGAAAUGCGUAGAGAUGUGGAGGAAUACCGAAGGCGAAGGCAGCCCCUUGGGAAUGUACUGACGCUCAUGUGCGAAAGCGUGGGGAGCAAACAGGAUUAGAUACCCUGGUAGUCCACGCUGUAAACGCUGUCGAUUUGGGGGUUGGGGUUUAACUCUGGCGCCCGUAGCUAACGUGAUAAAUCGACCGCCUGGGGAGUACGGCCGCAAGGUUA
Molecule: ribosomal RNA, 547 nt
Filed under: uncultured bacterium
Lineage: Bacteria
Description: bacterial SSU rRNA
Rfam family: Bacterial small subunit ribosomal RNA
Source: RNAcentral